This 253-nucleotide ribosomal RNA is filed under the name uncultured bacterium. Its description in RNAcentral is "partial 16S ribosomal RNA". It matches the Rfam family "Bacterial small subunit ribosomal RNA", at positions 524 to 776 of the family's 1533-position model. The record is from RNAcentral.
GACGUAGGGCGCGAGCGUUGUCCGGAUUUAUUGGGCGUAAAGCGCGCGUAGGCGGCUACUUAAGUCGGAUGUGAAAGCCCCUGGCUCAACUGGGGAAGUGCACCCGAAACUGAGUGGCUUGAGUGCGAAAGAGGGUCGCGGAAUUCCCGGUGUAGAGGUGAAAUUCGUAGAUAUCGGGAGGAACACCGGUGGCGAAGGCGGCGACCUGGGUCGACACUGACGCUGAGGCGCGAAAGCGUGGGGAGCAAACAGG